GAUCAUGGCUCAGGAUGAACGCUAGCUACAGGCUUAACACAUGCAAGUCGAGGGGCAGCAUGAACUUAGCUUGCUAAGUUUUGAUGGCGACCGGCGCACGGGUGAGUAACACGUAUCCAACCUGCCGAUGACGUCGGGGAUAGCCUUUCGAAAGAAAGAUUAAUACCCGAUGGCAUAGUUCUUCCGCAUGGUAGAACUAUUAAGGGAUUUCGGUCAUCGAUGGGGAUGCGUUCCAUUUAGG
This 241-nucleotide ribosomal RNA is filed under the name uncultured bacterium. RNAcentral describes it as "partial 16S ribosomal RNA". It matches the Rfam family "Bacterial small subunit ribosomal RNA", at positions 15 to 245 of the family's 1533-position model. The record is from RNAcentral.